UUUUAAAUUGCUGUAGUAUUUUGACUAUACAAAGGUAUUGUAAUAAGACUUUAAUUGAGUGCUAAAAGAAUGGAAUUACAAAAAAAGGCUUUUUUAAUUUUAAAAAUUAAAAUUAUUUUUUUUUGUGAAGAAACAAAAAUUUAAAUUAAAGACAAGAAGACCCUAAGAAUUUUUUUUUUUAUUAAAAUAAUAUUUUAUUUUAAAAAUUUAAUUGGGGCGAUUAAUUAAUAUUAAAAACUUUAUUAACAAAAAAAAUGAUCCAUUAUUAAUGAUUAUUUGAUUAAAAUACUCUAGGGAUAACAGCGUAAUAAUUUUUGAUAGUUCUUAUAGAAAAAAUAGUUUGCGACCUCGAUGUUGGAUUAGGAUUCUUUUUU
Molecule: ribosomal RNA, 374 nt
Filed under: Amblyomma dissimile (iguana tick)
Lineage: Eukaryota; Metazoa; Arthropoda; Arachnida; Ixodida; Ixodidae
Description: partial large subunit ribosomal RNA
Source: RNAcentral